GGGUCCGUACCGGUUUUGACAGGCUGGCGAAAGCUACUCUGUGAUUCAGGUCGAGAGUGAGUCAUCUCUCGUAAAUCCAAGGCUCAAAAAAAAGUAAAUGCGAACAACAUCGUAAAAUUUGCUCGUAAGGAAGCUCUCGUAGCUGCCUAAAAACCUCUUAUAGGUUCGAGCGCUUCUAGUCUGACUCCGUUAAGGGCUAGAGGCAAACCCCAACGGAUGCGCNNNNNNNNNNNNNNNUAAUAAGUUCCCUCUGGUGGACUUGUUAGCAAAGACUUAACCAGAGUAUCCUAGCGUUCGGGAUAACGAACGUUCCCCGCCUUGAGGGUAAGAAAGGCUAAGCCUGUGAAUGAGCGGGGGGCCAAUACCCAGUUUGGACAGCAGUUCGACUCUGCUCGGAUCCACUA
RNAcentral lists this transfer-messenger RNA (404 nucleotides) under Mastigocladus laminosus WC112. It matches the Rfam family "transfer-messenger RNA". From Rfam's summary of the family: Bacterial tmRNA, also known as 10Sa RNA or SsrA, is named for its dual tRNA and mRNA-like properties. The record is from RNAcentral. Lineage: Bacteria; Bacillati; Cyanobacteriota; Cyanophyceae; Nostocales; Hapalosiphonaceae.